This is a small nucleolar RNA of Mastomys coucha (southern multimammate mouse), 129 nucleotides long. RefSeq annotates it as small nucleolar RNA SNORA17. The record is from RefSeq and is a predicted model, not a curated record. Lineage: Eukaryota; Metazoa; Chordata; Mammalia; Rodentia; Muridae. The transcript has a single exon.
CUUUUUCCUAGAGGUGUUGCUGAUGUGGCUGCUGUGUCACAUGUUCAUCAGUAGGUGGCAGAGGAGAGCGGUUAUAUCUAUGCUCAGUGUUGUGACCUAUGAACAUCUGAAAAUCAGUAGUCUAACAUU